This 257-nucleotide ribosomal RNA is filed under the name uncultured bacterium. RNAcentral describes it as "partial 16S ribosomal RNA". It matches the Rfam family "Bacterial small subunit ribosomal RNA", at positions 524 to 776 of the family's 1533-position model. The record is from RNAcentral.
UACGAAGGGGGGCUAGCGUUGCUCGGAAUCACUGGGCGUAAAGCGCACGUAGGCGGAUUGUUAAGUCAGGGGGUGAAAUCCUGGAGCUCAACUCCAGAACUGCCUUUGAUACUGGCGAUCUCGAGUCCGGGAGAGGUGAGUGGAACUGCGAGUGUAGAGGUGAAAAUUCGUAGAUAUUCGCAAGAACACCAGUGGCGAAGGCGGCUCACUGGCCCGGUACUGACGCUGAGGUGCGAAAGCGUGGGGGAGCAAACAGG